AUGGACUCGGCACACUGCUCAGUAACACGUGGAUAACAUACCCUAGAGUGGAGCAUAAUCUCGGAAAACUGAGGAUAAUACUCCAUAGGUCACGAGAUCUGGAAGAGACUUGUGGCUCAAAGUUCAGGCGCUCUAGGAUUGGUCUGCGGCCUAUCAGGUAGUAGUGGGUGUAACGGACCCACUAGCCGAUGACGGGUAUGGGCCUUGAGAGAGGGAGCCCAGAGAUGGAUUCUGAGACACGAAUCCAGGCCCUACGGGGCGCAGCAGUCGCGAAAACUUCACAAUGGAGGCAACUCCGAUGAGGGAAUUCCUAGUGCCAAUGCAUUUUGUGUUGGCUUUUCUUCAGCGUAGAUAACUGAUGGAAUAAGGGCUGGGUAAGACGGGUGCCAGCCGCCGCGGUAAUACCCGCAGCCCAAGUGGUGGUCGAUAUUAUUGAGUCUAAAACGUUCGUAGCCGGUUCAAUAAAUCUCUGGGUAAAUCGGAGGGCUCAACCUUCCGAAUUCCGGAACGACUGUUGAACUUGGGACCGGGAGAGGCAAGAGGUACUUCUGGGGUAGGGGUAAAAUCCUGUAAUCCUUUAAGGACCACCGGUGGCGAAGGCGUCUUGCUAGAACGGAUCCGACGGUGAGGGACGAAGCCCUGGGUCGCAAACGGGAUUAGAUACCCCGGUAGUCCAGGGUGUAAACGCUGCAGACUUGGUGUUGGAGAUCCUUCGUGGGUAUUCAGUGCCGGAGAGAAGUUG
This 742-nucleotide ribosomal RNA is filed under the name uncultured archaeon 101B. RNAcentral describes it as "bacterial SSU rRNA". It matches the Rfam family "Archaeal small subunit ribosomal RNA", at positions 72 to 814 of the family's 1478-position model. The record is from RNAcentral.